AGGGUCAAUACCUGGGCCUUUUCUAGUAGGAUGGGCUAUUGACAAUGCAUGCUUAAUAUUUCUAGAAGGAUCAUGCGGUAACCAAGGAAACUGUUUGUUAUACAGUCACGAUUCGAUGGCGUUAGGUGUUAUGGUGUGGUGGCUUGUUGUUUGUCUACUUUCGGCACUGUUUUACUUGCUAGCUAUAUUCUUUCAGUGUUGUAGAGGAGAAAAAGGCUCUUUUGAUUUGACUAAAAAGUAAUGAACAUCUGGUUAUUUUAUUUUAGUGAUGACAUUUUUUAUUCGGGCAUUAUGAUUGACGCUAUUUUUUUAUACAAAGGUACACGAAUUAGUGUAGAGUAAAUUUUGUAAUAUUUUUAUUGUUGACUAAUAGAAAACUUUCGAGUUUGUCCGUCACCGGCGCCUUUGAGACGUCAUUUACCAGAUAGAGCGGAUUGCCUGUAUCCCUGCACUGUAAAGUUCAUCAAGCAUCUUAGUGAUCGUCAUUGUACAGGAUGAACUAGAAAUAAAAUUUGUUCUGUAGGUACUUUAUCACGAUUCCCUAAUGACAGCAGUGCUGAAAGACAAUUAUGAGUAUUUAAUUUGCCGAAUAGUUCGUGCAAUAUAGUUUUAUAGUUUUCCAACCACUCGCUCAACAUUGGAACGGAAGUGACGACGCCCCUAAACGGAUGAAUGAUGUUCACUUAAACCAAAGUUUUUGACGGAAAUGCACCGAACUCGAAAUUUGCUUACUGAAUUGUUGAUUUGUUUUUUAUUUUUGAUAUAGAUCCCGAAUUGUAUUUUAUUGUAUUCCAUUAUGUUUUAUUCAUUAUUUUUUCAUUCAAACUCCAUUUGAUGAAAGUAAAUCAUAUUAAUCAUUUUCUUUUCUGACAUAUUGAAUACAUCUUAUGUUCUUACCAGAGAUACAUAAGAAUAUGAAAAAGAACAGAUGUAGGGUACAUUAACAAUAAUUUCUCACACUUUACUUGUGCGGUGUGAGCAAACUCUCCGUGUUGUAGGCCGUAUCUUGAGCUAUAAUGGUCUACUUUUAUACAUUGUUACUUGGAUGGAGAAUUGUCUCAUUGGCACUCAUACCACAUCUUCCUAUAUCUGAUUUACCAAAUUUGUUAUGGUAUUUCUACUGUCAUUUCAGUCAAACUUGUUUUUAGACAGGUUGAUAUAGUUACUUAUUUUAUGGAUUCAGUACUGAUAUUCAGACUGAUCUGAUACCGUACUGAUUCAAUGUUUACUCUCAGAGCUAACCUUGUCUUUAUCGAUAUCUCGCACCUGUUUCAGUUGUAGUUGGUGUAUGUCUUUUUGAAAGAUAUUAGUUUAACAGUUUAUUCCAUAAUAAUUCAGUUCAAUUCAAUUCCAAGUUUUAUUGUCAUAUGAAUCGGCUUAAAAUGAUUUAUGACUUAUGAACUUUACCAUGGACGUACAUAUUUUAACAACACUUUGGUUAAUUUUUCACUUUUUUUUAAAAUUUAUAUUCUAUGUAUAGGAUUAAUUUUUCUAAAUUUGGUUUAUUAUAAACAAAAUUUUAGUUGGAUCUUGAAUUAAAACCAUACCCACAGCUUUACUUGUUUUGCUCAGUGUAACAUAAAACACCAAGAAAGAAAUGAAUAUAUUGUCAUAAAACAUCUGAAACCACUUCAUUAUUUGUUUUCUCAUGGAAUAUCUUAAGUAUAUACUAUAUUGUUUUCAUGCCCCUUAGUAAAAAAAUAUGUAAUUAUAAAUCAUUAGAUGUAUUUCUUUGAUAAAUAUAUUCAUGAUGUACAUUUUGAAACAUGUAAAUGAUUAAUGUUUAGAUGAUUUAUUCUGAGUAUUCAAUCAUCUAAAGAAAGCAUGCACGAAAUACCCGAAGGAUAACUUUAAAACAUCUGUAAUCAUUAAUUGUCAAUUUCAAUGUUGUAAAUUAUUCCAGUAAAUGAUUUUUAACGCUGAUUUAUGCAAGCUUUAUGUAACUUCUUGAUAAUCCCCAAAAUAUUGUAACAGUUUCUAAAUUUUCUUAUUUAAAGUUCUGCAAGAAAAGAUUUGUGUUGAUUUUAUGCUGAAAUAAAUUUCAUUAUAUAUUAUAUAUAAUUGAAUAGUUGAGCACUAAUUGUUGUUGUUUGUUCAUAUAUAAAAUUGAAUUCAGG
RNAcentral lists this long non-coding RNA (2117 nucleotides) under Mytilus galloprovincialis (Mediterranean mussel). The record is from RNAcentral. Lineage: Eukaryota; Metazoa; Mollusca; Bivalvia; Mytilida; Mytilidae.